GAUGAACGCUGGCGGCGUGCUUAACACAUGCAAGUCGAACGGUGAAGGCGGAGCUUGCUCUGCUGGAUCAGUGGCGAACGGGUGAGUAACACGUGAGCAAUCUGCCCCUGACUCUGGGAUAAGCGCUGGAAACGGCGUCUAAUACCGGAUACGAGCUGCGAAGGCAUCUUCAGCAGCUGGAAAGAAUUUCGGUCAGGGAUGAGCUCGCGGCCUAUCAGCUUGUUGGUGAGGUAAUGGCUCACCAAGGCGUCGACGGGUAGCCGGCCUGAGAGGGUGACCGGCCACACUGGGACUGAGACACGGCCCAGACUCCUACGGGAGGCAGCAGUGGGGAAUAUUGCACAAUGGGCGAAAGCCUGAUGCAGCAACGCCGCGUGAGGGACGACGGCCUUCGGGUUGUAAACCUCUUUUAGCAGGGAAGAAGCGAAAGUGACGGUACCUGCAGAAAAAGCGCCGGCUAACUACGUG
Molecule: ribosomal RNA, 468 nt
Filed under: uncultured bacterium
Lineage: Bacteria
Description: partial 16S ribosomal RNA
Rfam family: Bacterial small subunit ribosomal RNA
Source: RNAcentral